CAGUAGCCGCGGGAAUACGAAGGGUGCAAGCGUUACUCGGAAUUACUGGGCGUAAAGCGUGCGUAGGUGGUGGUUUAAGUCCGUUGUGAAAGCCCUGGGCUCAACCUGGGAACUGCAGUCGAAACUGCAAGACUUGAAUGUUGGAGAGGUUGGGGGAAUACCUAGUGGAGAAGUGAAAUUCGUAGAGAUUAGGUGGAACACCAGAGGCGAAGGCGCCUGACUGGCCAAACAUUGACGCUAAGGCGCGAAAGCGUGGGUAGCAAACAGGAUUAGAUACCCGCGUAGUCCCUGUCUCUUAUAC
This 301-nucleotide ribosomal RNA is filed under the name uncultured bacterium. RNAcentral's name for it is "partial 16S ribosomal RNA". It matches the Rfam family "Bacterial small subunit ribosomal RNA", at positions 509 to 807 of the family's 1533-position model. The record is from RNAcentral.